UUAUCGCGCAUCGCCUUGAGUUUGAUCUGGCUCAGAACGAACGCUGGCGGCGUGCCUAACACAUGCAAGUCGAGCGGACCGCGUGGGGCAACUCGCGCGGUUAGCGGCGGACGGGUGAGUAACACGUGGGUAACCUACCUGGGAGACCGGGAUAACAUCUCGAAAGGGGUGCUAAUACCGGAUACGUUCCCUGGGACACAAGUCUUGGGGAGGAAAGGUGGCGCAAGCUGUCACUCCCAGACGGGCCCGCGGCCCAUUAGCUAGUUGGCGGGGUAACGGCCCACCAAGGCGAUGAUGGGUAGCCGGCCUGAGAGGGUGGUCGGCCACACGGGGACUGAGACACGGCCCCGACUCCUACGGGAGGCAGCAGUGGGGAAUCUUCCGCAAUGGGCGAAAGCCUGACGGAGCAACGCCGCGUGGGGGACGAAGGCCUUCGGGUCGUAAACCCCUGUCAUGGGGAAAGAAGGGUCUCGGGGUGAACAGCCUCGGGGCCUGACGGUACCCCAAGAGGAAGCCACGGCCAACUCCGUGCCAGCAGCCGCGGUAAUACGGAGGUGGCAAGCGUUGUUCGGAAUUACUGGGCGUAAAGGGCGCGUAGGCGGGGAGGUAAGUCGGGUGUGAAAGCCCUCGGCUCAACCGAGGAACGGCGCCCGAAACUGCUUCUCUUGAGUCCCGGAGAGGAAGGUGGAAUUCCGGUGUAGCGGUGNAUGUGUAGAGAUCGGGAGGACACCGGUGGCGAAGCNGCUUUCUGACGUGACUGAGCUGAGCGCGAAACGUGGGAGC
This 783-nucleotide ribosomal RNA is filed under the name uncultured bacterium. RNAcentral describes it as "bacterial SSU rRNA". It matches the Rfam family "Bacterial small subunit ribosomal RNA", at positions 1 to 769 of the family's 1533-position model. The record is from RNAcentral.